RNAcentral lists this ribosomal RNA (253 nucleotides) under uncultured bacterium. Its description in RNAcentral is "partial 16S ribosomal RNA". It matches the Rfam family "Bacterial small subunit ribosomal RNA", at positions 524 to 776 of the family's 1533-position model. The record is from RNAcentral.
UACAGAGGUCCCAAGCGUUGUUCGGAUUCAUUGGGCGUAAAGGGUGCGUAGGCGGCGCGGUAAGUCGGGUGUGAAAUCUCGGGGCUUAACUCCGAAACUGCAUUCGAUACUGCCGUGCUUGAGGACUGGAGAGGAGACUGGAAUUUACGGUGUAGCGGUGAAAUGCGUAGAUAUCGUAGGGAAGACCAGUGGCGAAGGCGGGUCUCUGGACAGUUCCUGACACUGAGACACGAAGGCCAGGGGAGCAAACGGG